This 7235-nucleotide unclassified non-coding RNA is filed under the name Drosophila yakuba. RNAcentral describes it as "GE17017". Lineage: Eukaryota; Metazoa; Arthropoda; Insecta; Diptera; Drosophilidae. The record is from RNAcentral.
CUAUCUGCUUGCAGUCUGGCAACGCCACGAAAGUCGAGUUGGCAUUUGAUUUGAUUGCUGCGUUCGGAUCGAAAAAAUUCCAUAUUUCAUUGUUUAACUCCCAAGAACGUCAGCAAACAAGUAACUUGUAUAAUAUUUUAAGUUAAAUACUGCCGAACACAGUGCCGUACCAAGUGCGUGUAAAUAAACAAGCGAUUUGUGUAAGUCAGUGUGCAGCGUAAGCUAAUUAGAAGAGAAAAAGGAAAGAUCCAACAUGUUGCACAACAAUGCGCCCUGGCUGCCACCGCAUCAGCAGCAGCAGCAGCAACAGGCGCCGCAGCAACAUCCUACUCCCCAGCAGCAACAUGCAAUGCCCCAACAGCAGCAAACUCAUCCUGCCCAGCAACCGCAGCAGCUCUAUGCCAGCCAAAUGUUCCAGCAACAGCAGCCAAAUUAUUGGCCAGAGGAUCAGCACCAACAGCACCAACAGCAGCAACAGCAGCCGCAACAAUCUCUGAACUACAAUAACUACUUUGCGGGACAGCAGCAGCAGCAGCAACAUCCUUUGCAGCAGCAGCAACUGCCACCGCAGCAGCAACAGCCUACGCAGCAGCAACACGCUAUGCAGCAGCAACUGUAUUAUCCCACUCACCAGCAGCCACAAGUCCCGGCUCCAGCGGAACCAGCUCUGGACUCGUUUGACAACAAUAAUAGCGGAGGAGGAGGUGGUGGCGGCCGGAGCGAUGGCUGGGGUGAUUGGGGCGAUUGGAACGACAAUAGCAACAACAAUAUUAGCAACGGCACCGAAAGCCUGUUAGAGCCAACUGGACAACUGCUGGAGGAUUCCUUCAAUGUGCAAUCUUCGCAAGGCAGUUGGCAGGCGUUUGCCACCAGCAAUAAUGUCAAUAACAAUGGCGAGCUGCCCUCAGCAGCGGAUCCGCAGGCAGCGCCCUUGCAACAACAGUCAUUCAAUGAGCAAUCGACACCUUUGUUGCACCAGCAGCCACAAUCGCCGCCGGAACUGGGGCAGGAACCCGAACUGGAUGCCAUUGUGCCUCCCCAGGCUUUCCAAAACCAGCCACCAACCGUAGCACCACCACCAACAUCACUGACUGCGUUCUCCGCACCAAUGACUGCUGUGGGAUCGCCAAUGUAUGCUUCUGCACAUAGCGCUGGAGUAGGAGCUUCGCCAGCACCUCCCACUGCAGUGGGAGCUCCGCCAGCACAUCUUACUGGAGUAGGAGCGCCACCAGCACAUCUUGCAGGACUAGGAGCUUCGCCAGCACCUCCCACUGGAGUGGUGGUUCCGCCAGCACAUCUUGCAGGAGUAGAAGCUUCCCCAGCACCUCUCGCUGGCGUGGGAGCUCCACCAGCACCCCUCAUUGGAGUAGGAGCUCCACCAGUGGGAGCACCGCCAGUGGACGCUACAACUAUUGCACCACCGGCCGCACUGCCACCUAGCUUGGCUCCAUCGUCUGGCAAUCCCUUCAAGCGCUCCACGGGUCUAAAUAAGCGAGUUAACAUUAUGGCCGAUCCUGCGGCAGGCGCUCCAUCGCCCCAGGCACCUGCUGCAAUGGCUCCAGUGGCACCAAUAGCAGCAAUUCCGCCACCAGCUGAGCAGCUCUUUGGUCUGCCAGCAGAGGCUCAUGGAGAUAGUUUCAACUUAAUGGCGGCGCCACCUGUUGAGGCUUCACUUGUAGCUCCACUAAGUGCAGCUAUUCCUGCACCCAUUCCUGUACCUACCGCAUCGCUGUAUGCCCCACCGGCUGUUCCACAGGCAUUUACGCCCUUGGAGCCGGACAACCAGGAGGUUUUGUCCGCGCCAAAUGACGAGCGGGCCCAGUACUUGCAGACCAGUCACCUGUCCGAGCAACUGGGCGAAGGCGAAGCUGAUCAGGAUGCAGGCCUGCUGCCACCACCGGGACUGUCUCGUUUGGUUUUGGGCCAACCGGAAUUGGAUUCGCAGCAGCAGCGCCAGGUCACGGGAGCCACAGAGCAGCCACCACUUAAUGUGGCCCAGGCAGCAGCUCUACACAUGCAAGAGCGUCGUGCAGAUGGCGAGGACACCUCUGACGGCGAGCAACAAGUACGUAAUAUACAGACGCCACCACGUCGCGUCGUAACUGGCGUGGAGACCAACGCCCCAUCGUUGAGAGAACAGCGGGAAGUGGUGCUGGAUGGCGAGAAUCUGGAGGAUCGCGAAGCUAUACCGCCACCAACUUUGGCUGAACAGCCAACCACUUCAGUACAUCACAAUAUUCUACCCGAUGAGCCGGAGCAGCUGCAUCACAGCAAUCCGCCCCAGGCGAUGACUCCGCUUAAUCCGCAGCAACCACAUCAGCAGCAGCCACUGCUGCAGCAGCAGCACCAGCAACAUGCAACCCCUCAGCAGGAGAAGAAACGUACGGCGGUCGGACGCCGAACCACAGCCUCGCUGGAUCUGGAGUCCGAUGAGUCUGACGAGUUUCUGCAGAGCGAAAGGGAACGCGAUCGGGAGCGUGAGCGCAGAGACCUAAUGGAGGAGAGGCAAGGUCGUGGUCGCAGCCAUGGUCAUUACCCCUACGAAGGCGAAACGGAGGACUCUGUGCGUGGUGCUACCCACCACGAGACGAAAUCCCUAAGGGAAACACAUCACAAACGUAACCACGAAUCGACGCGCUCUCGCCGCCAUCAGGAUUCCAAGGUGGAACGCGAAAGGGAACGGGAUAGGGAGCGUGAUCGCACAUGGCGCCGACGAUCCAACAAGUAUCACAGUGGUGGCGAGGAUCCCGAUCGUUCGUACGAUCAUUCGCGUCGUUACAACAACAGCAAUUACGAUGGUGAGUCCGAUAAUCCGGAGUAUAGUCACCUGGGCGAUGCCGAGCUGGACGGCAGCGGUGGUCGGAGCAGUAAAACCAGUCGCCAUCGACGCAGUGCCGCCGAGGAGGAUUUCGAUGAUUACGAACGGGAUCGCAAUCGAUCCCGUCGCUCAACCAAACCACAAUCGUCCGCUGAAAAGUCACGCUCCUCUGGCGGACGACGGAAUUACGAGAAUACGGGUCGUGGUGCCCGUACCGAUGAUGGUCGCCGACGUUAUCAGGACCAGCGUAAUCCUGGUGCUCAGUAUCCCGUAUCAGCCACUGGCUAUGUUCCCUACGGAAUGUACGAGCAAAUGUCGCGGAAUCCACAAGUCUACGCUGAUAUGUAUGCGAAGUUCUAUGGCCAAAUGAUCAACUCGAUGAACGCUGCUGUUACGGCGGCUGCCUCUAAGGGCGGUGUUCCCGCUGGAGCUGGAGUCAUACCCGGUUUGGUGCCCGGCACGGUGCCCGUGAGUGCCGCCCAGUUGGUGGCCGCCACCAGCGGAGGAAGUGUCAGCGGAAGCAGUGAUGCCGCCAUGCUCAGGGAACGAGAAAGGUAUACACACGCAUACAUAACCCAAGCCAAUGAAUUCCAUCGUCACCAAUACAAAGAGCUGAUCUACCAGCAACAACAACAACAACUGCAGCAGCAGCAACAACAACAACAGCAGAGGGAGGAUCAACUGAACUCCAGCUUUAGCGUUGCCGAGGAUAAUGCCAGUUAUUACGGAUCCCGCGGAGGUUCCAUCUAUAACCAAUACCAAUCAUAUCCACUCUCCAGUGCCCGAUCGCUGAGUAACUUGAACGGCGAUGGACGCAACUCCCGAUGCGGACCGCAUUACGCUGGUUCCGAAUGCGGUCUCGAUAUCAGAGCUGCUGCCGAGGCGGCACCUUCGACUUAUGGAGGCGUGGCUGGAACCGCUGGAACGGUGACCACUAACGCGGUGGCUCGUCCGCCGCGCAGACGCACUCCCUUGCAGUUCAAUCGACCGCAUUUGGUGGCCUCGUAUGCGAUGAGUCUGCUGCUGAAGGUGAAGCCCAAGUACGCGGGACGCGGACGACUGCGCAACGAUGUGGAGGUGGCGCCACCGCGCAUACGGGACGGAACGAGCAGCCUGCUGCGCAUGUAUCCGGGUCCGUUGCAGGGUCGCAAGUUGCACAAGGACAAGAUCAUCAGCUUCUGCAAGGAGCAGAUCCGACUGGGACCCACAAAGGGUUGCACCGCACUCUAUGCCACGCAGAAGAAGCCCCAAGGCAGUGUGGCUAAAUACCGUGCCUCCCAUGCGCUCAUGUGGCAUCUGCUUAUACUGUUGCUGCGCCAAAAUGGGUACAUUGCGGACACGGAUGUGGGCGAUCUGCUGCUGGAGAACCAGCAAGAGUAUCCAUACGAUCCCAGCGAGUUCGAACCAGAGAACGAACCAGACGUGGACGCCGAACAGGAUGUCGCUGCACCAGCGGACAAGGCAGGAGAUUCGGAUUUGGAUAGCGAAUCGGCAGCAGGAGUUACGCCUGCAGAACCACUUGCAGCGGGUGCCGCAACGAGCUCAUCCAAUGGCGCUGAUGCUGCGAACGCAGCGCAGACAGGACAGACGCCUCUGUCGGAACAGGCGGCAACGGACAAGUUCCGCAGCUAUGUGUUGCGCGGAAAUGUCGAGGAGGCUCUCCAGUGGGCCGCCGAUAACAACCUGUGGACGCAUGCAUUCUUUUUGGCCCUCUACGAGGAUCGCUAUGCUCUCACAGAUGUUGCCCAGAAGUUUCUCAAUCGAGCGAUCAAGGCGAACGAUCCAUUGCAGACACUCUACCAAAUGAAGAGCUGCCACACGCCGGCGUGCGUCAGCCAGCUGCGGGAUGAACAGUGGGGCGACUGGCGGUCGCAUCUCUCCAUUCUGGUGACGAACAAGAGUCGCCAGCCGGAGUAUGAUCGCAGUUCGGUAGUGGCCCUCGGCGAUACGCUGUUCCAGCGCGGCGAUAUUUAUGCGGCACACUUUUGCUAUCUGGUGGCUCAGGAGGAGUUCGGGCGAUACGACAGCUCUGCCACCGAGCUCACUACUCUGACCGCCAAUGUGCCCAGGCUUAUCCUGCUGGGCUCCUCGCAUUACAAGCACUUCAAUGAGUUUGCCAGCAACGAGGCCAUCAUCAUGACCGAGAUCUAUGAGUAUGCUCGAUCGCUGUUCGAUCCGAAGUUUAGCAUUGCCCACUUCCAACACUACAAGUUCCUGCUGGCCACAAGGAUCCUUGAUUAUGGCCAGCAUUUCCGCUGCACCAAUUAUUUGGAACAAAUCGCCAGGCACAUCGAACUGAAGCCAGAAAGCUACGACAGUGAUUUCAUUCAGCGGGUUUGUGGUUUGGCCGAACGUCUGCGCUAUCAUGAUCCCAUUCUUAUCAAUCGUGUAUCUUUUGCGAGUCCUCCGAAUGCCACCAGCAAGGAUAGUGCUGCUCCCGAAGAGAAAGCCUGGUUGCGCCAGCUGAGAUCUCUGGCCAAUGUGCAGCCCCAACAGGAGCAACUGCAACAGCUGCAGCAGCAUCAGCAAAUCCAGCAGGAGCAAAACGACAUCGAUCAGCAGUUUGCAGAGGUGAAUAAGCAAUUCAGGGAGCUAAACAUGCAAUACGAGAGCCACAGCAACAUAGAGAAUACGCUGCAAUCGCAAUUGCAACCGGUGGAUCAACAGCCGCCACAGCAGCAGCAGCAGCAAGUUUUAUCGGAAGCGCACCAACAGCCACCGCCACCACAACAAUAUUAUGAGCCACCACCUCAAGCGCCAACUGAAACGGAUCCCUAUGGACAGGGCCAACCAUCCUACUAUGAUCCCAAUGCGGGGCAGCAUCAAUACGAUCCCAAUGCGGGCCAGCUUCAUUACGAUCCAAAUGCUGCACAUCAUCAAUACGACCAGCAAUCUCAAGCGCAACCUACUCCCAGUUAUGGCCAAAUAGAGCCAGGAACUGAGGCCUACCAACCUGGACAGACAACAGCAGAUCCAGCUGCGGCUGCCUCUGGCUACGGAUACGAUUACUGGUCGGGCACACAGCAGCCACCAUAUGGCGAUGAGCCCAAUGAGAAUCAAGCUGCUCUUAAGGAUGAAGAGGAGGUGGAGGAGGAGGAGCAGGAUGAACAGCAGAUAUUGCAGUACGCCAAACAGCAGAUUUUGCAGCAAACCAAGCAGCAACAGCAGCAGCAGUUGCAGCAGGAGCAACAUACUCGCAGCAAUGGCGCUGCCAGCAUCAACAAUCGCUUCAAAUCGAACGCUCUAAAGCAGCAGGAACGGAGCAGCGGUUCAUUGCGGAAAAGGCAAGAGGCGUCACGAACAGGAACAAUAGCAGCGGCAGCAGCAGCUAUUGCCCAGAUAACACCGGCAACAGUUGCCGCCGCAUCGACGACACCAGCAGCAUCGGCAAAGGCAUUCAAUUUGAAUGAUCUGCAGCAGCAGACGCGCCCGGCGAUAUCCAUGCCCAAAUCAAAGAGCUAUGGAGAUGAGGACGAUGGUGGUUCCGGCGGUAUGUCUGAUCCUGGCCAGAAAGCCAAGCUUGGAGGCUCCUCUGAGGCUGCUGGCAAACAGCAGGCGUCGGGCAAACAGGCCAACUCUGGCAGCGAUCUUGGCGCACCUGGAAAUAAGAAUGCGGGCUGGUUCGGCGGACUCUGGAACAAGCUGUCGCUCAAGCCGAAGAACCAAAUGAUCCUGCCGGAUGACAAGAACCCGGCCAUCGUCUGGGACAAGGAGCGCAAAUGCUGGACCAACACCGAGGGCAGCGGCGAGGAGGCGGAGAGCUUUAAGCCGCCACCCAAAAUGAGUGAUCUGGGCAUGGCUCUCGGAGGUCCACCCGCCGCGCCAGUCGCAAACGCCGGACUGGGAAUGGGUCUAAUGCCGAUGGCCAACAAUUCGCUGGGCAGCCAUCAAUCGGCACCGCUGAUGGAUCAGCCACCGCCGUCGCAGCCGCAAAUGUAUGGCAGUCCCAUUGAUUACACGGCUGCUCCGGCACCCGAAUUGAUACCCACGGUGCCAUCGCCGGCGCCGGCGCCACUUUCUGUCCCAUCACCUGCACCGGCGGCAUCAGCGGCGCCCAAUCCCGCGGCCGCUCCCGGCGGACCGCAGCCCAAGCUGCAGUCGAACAUGUUCAAGAUGCAACGCAACCGAACGCUGAAGAACUCCUACGUGGAUGUGUUCAAUCCAUCGGGUGCGCCAAUGUCGGCGGCGCCGGAGAAUGUGCUGGCCCCCAUGAUGGCGCCGGCUGCGGUGCCGCAAGGUGGUUUCUUUGUGCCCCAGUCGUAGGGAAUCUGAGAUGGGACUGGCCGGUACCGAAGCCCCGGGAUCUGGAGCAGCUGGUGUGCGUGGACAGUUGAAGGAGGAGGAGGAUGUGUGAAUGUGUAAAAAGGGCUGCCCCAAAUACCAGCGAGAUCGGCACUUCGAAACUACGUAAAAAAAA